RNAcentral lists this long non-coding RNA (379 nucleotides) under Mytilus galloprovincialis (Mediterranean mussel). The record is from RNAcentral. Lineage: Eukaryota; Metazoa; Mollusca; Bivalvia; Mytilida; Mytilidae.
CGUGGGUCGAUUUAAUGUGCAUAAGUCAACAGUUUAGAGACUCACAAACAGAUAUCGACAAAUUGCAACUGCACAGGAUAGGUCAAUAUGUUGUAAACCAAAAAAAACUAUCGUGAAGGGAGAAGCGCUACUUUCGCUUUACAUCAACACGUGACAAGUUUUUUCCGGCCAUAAGAGUAGUGCAUUGAUUAAGGGCAGCUGCUGGUGUGCCUGCCAAUCCUUCAAUGAUGCACUCAGGGCAUGGCCGAGAAAUUGAUUUUGAAUAACACUAUACUCAUUUUCGCAUUUUGUCCCUCCCGAGUUCCAUACCAAGAAAAUCCUAACGAAUGUGAGUGAUAAACAUUCAUGCUGCUUCUGACAUGUCAUAAUUUUAUUUUUU